AUGAGGCCCAGGAAGGGCCAGGUGGGCUGUGAGGCCCCCAAGGGACCGGGGGCCCUGCGCUGGCCCCUGCUGCUGCUGGGCUUGGCCGUGGGCACCCACGGCUUCCUGUCCUGGACGGAGGCACCUCGGAGCAGGGCCCUGGAGCCCGGGUGGGAAGCAGUCGGUCCAGCAUGCAGAGCGCGUGGAGCAGGUUCCUGCUCCAGCCCAGCCCCCAGGGGGCGGGCGCCAGGUGCUGGCCCCGUGGGUUUUGGUCUGAGCCUCAGUCACUGUGGUAUAUCUUCGGCGGCGGGACCCAGCUCACCGUCCUAGGUCAGUCCAAGGCCGCCCCCUCCGUCACUCUGUUCCCACCCUCCUCUGAGGAGCUCCAAGCCAGCAAGGCCACGCUGGUGUGUCUGAUCAGUGACUUCUACCCGGGCGCCGUCACCGUGGCCUGGAAGGCAGACGGCAGCCCCGUCACCCAGGGCGUGGAGACCACCAAGCCCUCAAAACAGAGCAACAACAAGUACGCGGCCAGCAGCUACCUGAGCCUGUCACCCAGCCAGUGGAAAGCUGCCAACAGGUACAGCUGCCUGGUCACCCACGAAGGCAGCACCGUGGAGAAGACAGUGUGCCCUGCAGAGUGUGCUUAGGCCCCCGGCCCCCCCCACCCUCGGGGGCCUGGAGCUGCAGGAGCCCAGGGGAGGGGUCUCCCCUCCCUCCCAGCCCCUCCCCUGCACCCAAUGAACCCUCAAUAAAUGUCCUCGUUGUCAA
Propithecus coquereli (Coquerel's sifaka) is the source of this 750-nucleotide non-coding RNA. NCBI's taxonomy places the organism in Eukaryota, Metazoa, Chordata, Mammalia, Primates, Indriidae. The record is from the annotation of a RefSeq genome assembly.